ACAACCUCAAGCUGGCCUACCAGGACAAGGUGGUAUUCCGCUCGCUGGUGGGCAUUUCGUGGAUGUGGUUCUUCGGCGUCGUGUUCCUGGCCAACUUCCCCAGUUUUGCCAAAGAGGUGUUG
Molecule: small RNA, 122 nt
Organism: Paucibacter sp. KCTC 42545
Lineage: Bacteria; Pseudomonadati; Pseudomonadota; Betaproteobacteria; Burkholderiales; Sphaerotilaceae
Rfam family: Burkholderia RNA 11
About the family: Co-purified with Hfq, expression confirmed by Northern blot. Predicted target marZ.
Source: Rfam